Acanthosepion pharaonis is the source of this 95-nucleotide non-coding RNA. NCBI's taxonomy places the organism in Eukaryota, Metazoa, Mollusca, Cephalopoda, Sepiida, Sepiidae. The record is from the annotation of a GenBank genome assembly.
UGAAAUACUGGUUCCAUUAUGAUCACCAAAGUUAAGCAACAUUGAGCAUGGUCAGUAUCUAGAUGGAUGACUGCUUGGGAAUACCAGGUGAUGUA